CAAUAGCGUAUAUUAAAGUUGUUGCAGUUAAAAAGCUCGUAGUCGGAUUUCGGGUUUGUCCGCGCAGUCUGCCGUUGGGUAUGCACUGCGUGUGACUUAUCUUUUUCGGGGCAGCGCGCGUUGCUUAAUUGUGGCGUGUGUCUCCUCGCUUUUACUUUGAGAAAAUCAGAGUGUUCAAAGCAGGCCUUUGCCAUUGUAUGUGUUAGCAUGGGAUAAUGGAAUAGGACUCUGGUGCUAUUUUGUUGGUUUCGAACGCCGGGGUAAUGAUUAAUAGGGAUAGUCAGGGGCACUCGUAUUCCGUAGAGAGAGGUGAAAUUCUUAGACCCACGGAAGACGCACUACUGCGAAAGCAUUUGCCAGGGAUGUUUUCACUGA
RNAcentral lists this ribosomal RNA (375 nucleotides) under uncultured eukaryote. Its description in RNAcentral is "partial 18S ribosomal RNA". It matches the Rfam family "Eukaryotic small subunit ribosomal RNA", at positions 592 to 976 of the family's 1831-position model. The record is from RNAcentral.